This 463-nucleotide ribosomal RNA is filed under the name uncultured bacterium. RNAcentral's name for it is "bacterial SSU rRNA". It matches the Rfam family "Bacterial small subunit ribosomal RNA", at positions 339 to 794 of the family's 1533-position model. The record is from RNAcentral.
AUACGGGAGGCAGCAGUGGGGAAUCUUGGACAAUGGGCGCAAGCCUGAUCCAGCAAUGCCGCGUGGGUGAAGACGGCCUGCGGGUUGUAAAGCCCUUUUGGUGGGGAGGAAAGCCCUGGGGUGAACAGGCUCAGGGGGUGACGCUACCCGCCGAAGAAGCACCGGCCAACUCCGUGCCAGCAGCCGCGGUAAGACGGAGGGUGCGAGCGUUAAUCGGAAUUACUGGGCGUAAAGCGCACGUAGGCGGUGCUGUCAGUCCGUUGUGAAAGCCCCGGGCUUAACCUGGGAAUGGCAAGGGCGACGGCAGCACUGGAGUGUAACAGAGGACCGUGGAAUUCCCGGUGUAGCGGUGAAAUGCGUAGAGAUCGGGAAGAACACCGAUGGCGAAGGCAGCGGUCUGGGUUAACACUGACGCUGAGGGGCGACAGCGUGGGGAGCAAACAGGAUUAGAUACCCCGGUAGA